UACGUAGGGUGCGAGCGUUAAUCGGAAUUACUGGGCGUAAAGCGCACGUAGGCGGGUUUGUAAGUAGGGGGUGAAAUCCCAGAGCUCAACUCUGGAACUGCCUUCUAAACUGCAAGCCUGGAGGUCAGGAGAGGCGAGUGGAAUACCGAGUGUAGAGGUGAAAUUCGUAGAUAUUCGGUGGAACACCAGUGGCGAAGGCGACUCGCUGGACUGAUACUGACGCUGAGGUGCGAAAGCGUGGGGAGCAAACAGG
Molecule: ribosomal RNA, 253 nt
Filed under: uncultured bacterium
Lineage: Bacteria
Description: partial 16S ribosomal RNA
Rfam family: Bacterial small subunit ribosomal RNA
Source: RNAcentral